ACACACCCUUGGAGAGGAUCCUGGAUAUAGUCUCUGGUGAUGGCACUUUCAUUGGAUGUGGGCAGUGCUCUGUAGAGCUGCAAACUGAUGAGAACGGGAUCUAUAGACCGUUACCCCUGCCUGCCACACACAGGAGUGUGGCGCUACUUUAGGCCAGUUGUUUUAACUGUGAGAGAUCUGUGUGCAUGUCCCUCCUGCUCUUGUGCAGAAGAUACUUCUGAACACUCCUCCAGAAAAGCUGCAUAAGACCAUAGCCCUUGCAUCAGAGGUGCGGUUCAUCCAGGUAGUAGCUAACAGGAUCAGUUCCAUGUUGACAACCAUAAAGAACACAUUUUUUCUGACCGUCCGAAGCCAUUUCCAGUGUGAUGAGAACAGCAUUCCUAUCAUUCAGAACUUUUUAUUAUUAGACUUCAGCUCACUAGAGACAUGAAAAUUAUCCAUGUAUCUUUCAGGUUAUGCUCUGCAUUUUCUUCGACAGUGGUUAAACGGGGCAACGUGAUAGAACUACCUGUAUGAUAUGUUCUUGAAACAACAUCCUUUGUUGAUCCAGGAACAAAUAUUACUUAUGUAAAUUAUA
Long non-coding RNA from Myxocyprinus asiaticus (Chinese sucker), 577 nucleotides. RefSeq lists it as uncharacterized. The transcript has 3 exons. The record is from RefSeq and is a predicted model, not a curated record. NCBI's taxonomy places the organism in Eukaryota, Metazoa, Chordata, Actinopteri, Cypriniformes, Catostomidae.